RNAcentral lists this ribosomal RNA (253 nucleotides) under uncultured bacterium. RNAcentral's name for it is "partial 16S ribosomal RNA". It matches the Rfam family "Bacterial small subunit ribosomal RNA", at positions 524 to 776 of the family's 1533-position model. The record is from RNAcentral.
UACGUAGGGUGCAAGCGUUGUCCGGAAUUAUUGGGCGUAAAGAGCUCGUAGGCGGUUUGUCGCGUCUGCUGUGAAAACUCGGGGCUUAACUCCGGGCCUGCAGUGGGUACGGGCAGACUAGAGUGCGGUAGGGGAGACUGGAAUUCCUGGUGUAGCGGUGAAAUGCGCAGAUAUCAGGAGGAACACCGAUGGCGAAGGCAGGUCUCUGGGCCAUAACUGACGCUGAGAAGCGAAAGCAUGGGGAGCGGACAGG